RNAcentral lists this small nuclear RNA (21 nucleotides) under Arabidopsis thaliana (thale cress). Its description in RNAcentral is "snRNA_13678". Lineage: Eukaryota; Viridiplantae; Streptophyta; Magnoliopsida; Brassicales; Brassicaceae. The record is from RNAcentral.
UGAGCCGUCACACGGAAUCGA